UACGGAGGGUGCAAGCGUUAUCCGGAUUUACUGGGUUUAAAGGGUGUGUAGGCGGGCAUUUAAGUCUGGGGUGAAAUCUCCGAGCUCAACUCGGAAACUGCCUUGGAUACUAUUUGUCUUGAACUAUGUUGAGGUUGGCGGAAUAUAACAUGUAGCGGUGAAAUGCAUAGAUAUGUUAUAGAACACCGAUUGCGAAGGCAGCUAACUAAGCAUAUAUUGACGCUGAGGCACGAAAGCGUGGGGAUCAAACAGG
RNAcentral lists this ribosomal RNA (253 nucleotides) under uncultured bacterium. RNAcentral's name for it is "partial 16S ribosomal RNA". It matches the Rfam family "Bacterial small subunit ribosomal RNA", at positions 524 to 776 of the family's 1533-position model. The record is from RNAcentral.